RNAcentral lists this ribosomal RNA (238 nucleotides) under uncultured anaerobic ammonium-oxidizing bacterium. RNAcentral describes it as "partial 16S ribosomal RNA". It matches the Rfam family "Bacterial small subunit ribosomal RNA", at positions 439 to 668 of the family's 1533-position model. The record is from RNAcentral.
GGAGUUAGGAAAUGCAGGUGCGUUAAUAGCGCACUUGCUUGACUAAGGCUCCAGAGGAAGCCACGGCUAACUCUGUGCCAGCAGCCGCGGUAAUACAGAGGCGGCAAGCGUUGUUCGGAAUUAUUGGGCGUAAAGAGCACGUAGGCGGCCUUGCAAAUCAGUUGUGAAAGCCUUCCGCUUAACGGAAGAACGGCAUCUGAUACUACAGGGCUUGAGUACGGGAGGGGAGAGUGGAACU